UGCGUAGGCGGAUAUGCAAGUGUCUUGUGAAAUCCCCCGGCUUAACCGGGGAAUGGCAUGGAAAACUGCAUGUCUUGAGGCAAGUAGGGGUGUGUGGAACUCUUGGUGGAGCGGUGGAAUGCGUAGAUAUCAAGAGGAACGCCGAAGGUGAAGACAGCACACUGGACUUGUACUGACGCUGAGGCACGAAAGCGUGGGGAGCAAACAGGAUUAGAUACCCUGGUAGUC
RNAcentral lists this ribosomal RNA (228 nucleotides) under uncultured bacterium. Its description in RNAcentral is "partial 16S ribosomal RNA". It matches the Rfam family "Bacterial small subunit ribosomal RNA", at positions 568 to 795 of the family's 1533-position model. The record is from RNAcentral.